GGAGGUGUAGCUCAUUGGUAGAGCAACUGCCUAGCAUGCAUGAGGACCUGGGUUUGAUUCUUAGCAUCGCAA
Molecule: transfer RNA, 72 nt
Filed under: Fukomys damarensis (Damara mole-rat)
Lineage: Eukaryota; Metazoa; Chordata; Mammalia; Rodentia; Bathyergidae
Rfam family: tRNA
About the family: Transfer RNA (tRNA) molecules are approximately 80 nucleotides in length. Their secondary structure includes four short double-helical elements and three loops (D, anti-codon, and T loops). Further hydrogen bonds mediate the characteristic L-shaped molecular structure. tRNAs have two regions of fundamental functional importance: the anti-codon, which is responsible for specific mRNA codon recognition, and the 3' end, to which the tRNAs corresponding amino acid is attached (by aminoacyl-tRNA synthetases). tRNAs cope with the degeneracy of the genetic code in two manners: having more than one tRNA (with a specific anti-codon) for a particular amino acid; and 'wobble' base-pairing, i.e. permitting non-standard base-pairing at the 3rd anti-codon position.
Source: Rfam by way of RNAcentral